This 385-nucleotide ribosomal RNA is filed under the name uncultured bacterium. RNAcentral describes it as "bacterial SSU rRNA". It matches the Rfam family "Bacterial small subunit ribosomal RNA", at positions 29 to 417 of the family's 1533-position model. The record is from RNAcentral.
AACGAACGCUGGCGGCAUGCCUUACACAUGCAAGUCGAACGGCAGCACGGGAGCAAUCCUGGUGGCGAGUGGCGAACGGGUGAGUAAUAUAUCGGAACGUGCCCAGUCGUGGGGAUAACGUAGCGAAAGCUACGCUAAUACCGCAUACGAUCUACGGAUGAAAGCGGGGGAUCGCAAGACCUCGCGCGAUUGGAGCGGCCGAUAUCAGAUUAGGUAGUUGGUGAGGUAAAGGCUCACCAAGCCGACGAUCUGUAGCUGGUCUGAGAGGACGACCAGCCACACUGGGACUGAGACACGGCCCAGACUCCUACGGAGGCAGCAGUGGGGAAUUUUGGACAAUGGGCGCAAGCCUGAUCCAGCAAUGCCGCGUGCAGGAUGAAGGCCU